RNAcentral lists this ribosomal RNA (292 nucleotides) under uncultured Bacteroidota bacterium. Its description in RNAcentral is "uncultured Bacteroidetes bacterium partial 16S ribosomal RNA". Lineage: Bacteria; Pseudomonadati; Bacteroidota. The record is from RNAcentral.
GGACUACUGGGGUAUCUAAUCCUGUUCGCUCCCCACGCUUUCGUCCAUCAGCGUCAGUUAAAUCUUAGUUACCUGCCUUCGCAAUAGGUGUUCUAUGUAAUAUCUAUGCAUUUCACCGCUACACUACAUAUUCCGGCAACUUCAAAUUCACUCAAGACUAACAGUAUCAAUGGCAGUUCGACAGUUAAGCUGCCGGCUUUCACCACUGACUUAUUAGCCCGCCUACGGACCCUUUAAACCCAAUAAAUCCGGAUAACGCUUGCAUCCUCCGUAUUACCGCGGCGGCUGGCAC